This 387-nucleotide long non-coding RNA is filed under the name Chinchilla lanigera (long-tailed chinchilla). RNAcentral's name for it is "lncRNA (ENSCLAG00000027221.1)". The record is from RNAcentral. Lineage: Eukaryota; Metazoa; Chordata; Mammalia; Rodentia; Chinchillidae.
UUUCAUCGUUUUAUAGGUCCAGUGAUAUUUUUCUUUUUCCCAUAGAGCACAGACAGGACUUUCUGGGUGACACUCGAUAUACCCAAGACCUAGGAAGCUCCUUCAAAGAUAAACCCUCAAAUUUGACCAAAAAGCAGUCUGCAUGGUGUGUACAUGGGACAACAGAAGCAAAAGACUCACAAGUCAAAGGCCAAGGCCAGGUGCUAGAAGAGGAAGCGCUGUGACGUCCCCUCCUUGCAAGGCUUCCCAGCCGCCGGCUCUGCAUCACCUGACUCCGCCCUUGCACACAGCGGACUUGUUCAGAGCUCAGCGAUUCCAGCCCUAGGAACUUACUCUAAUGAAACACAUCUAUGAAGAAACGUACAUCUUAUACUGGGUCCCCUCCAA